CAGUCGCCGCGGGAAUACAGAGGGUGCGAGCGUUAAUCGGAUUUACUGGGCGUAAAGCGUGCGUAGGCGGCUUUUUAAGUCGGAUGUGAAAUCCCUGAGCUUAAAUUAGGAAUUGCAUUCGAUACUGGGAAGCUAGAGUAUGGGAGAGGAUGGUAGAAUUCCAGGUGUAGCGGUGAAAUGCGUAGAGAUCUGAAGGAAUACCGAUGGCGAAGGCAGCCAUCUGGCCUAAUACUGACGCUGAGGUACGAAAGCAUGGGGAGCAAACAGGAUUAGAUACCCCCGUAGUCCCUGUCUCUUAUAC
RNAcentral lists this ribosomal RNA (301 nucleotides) under uncultured bacterium. Its description in RNAcentral is "partial 16S ribosomal RNA". It matches the Rfam family "Bacterial small subunit ribosomal RNA", at positions 509 to 807 of the family's 1533-position model. The record is from RNAcentral.